This is a non-coding RNA of Peromyscus maniculatus bairdii (prairie deer mouse), 1360 nucleotides long. The record is from RefSeq and is a predicted model, not a curated record. Lineage: Eukaryota; Metazoa; Chordata; Mammalia; Rodentia; Cricetidae.
GUGGGCUGCGCCGACACCACCUCCGAUCCUGUACGGUUGUGGGCGCCUCGGCGCGCCCUGUGCUCCGCAAUCCUGCGGCGGGCGGCCUGGGAUAAUGCGGCCAUGGUGCGCCGAGAACGCUUGCGCAGGAUGAGGGAGUGGUGGGUCCAAGUGGGGCUACUGGCCGUGCCCUUGCUGGCUGCGUACCUGCACAUCCCACCUCCUCAGCUCUCCCCUGCUCUGCACUCAUGGAAGACGUCGGGCAAGUUUUUCACCUACAAGGGACUUCGCAUCUUCUACCAAGACUCUGCCGGUGUUGUUGGAAGCCCUGAGAUAGUUGUGCUUUUACAUGGCUUUCCAACAUCCAGCUACGAUUGGUACAAGAUCUGGGAAGGUCUGACCCUAAGGUUUCAUCGAGUGAUUGCCCUGGACUUCUUGGGCUUUGGCUUCAGUGACAAACCGCGACCACAUCAGUAUUCCAUAUUUGAGCAAGCGAGCAUCGUGGAGUCCCUUCUUCGUCACCUGGGACUCCAGAACCGCAGAAUCAACCUGCUGUCUCAUGACUAUGGAGAUAUUGUUGCCCAGGAGCUGUUGUACAGGUACAAGCAGAAUCGAUCUGGCCGGCUUACCAUAAAGAGUCUCUGUCUGUCAAACGGAGGUAUUUUUCCUGAGACCCACCGCCCUCUUCUUCUCCAAAAGCUCCUCAAAGAUGGAGGUGUGCUCUCACCUAUCCUCACACGGCUCAUGAACUUCUUUGUGUUCUCUCGAGGUCUCACUCCAGUCUUUGGACCAUAUACUCGACCUUCUGAGAGUGAGCUGUGGGACAUGUGGGCUGGGAUCCGCAACAAUGAUGGGAACUUGGUCAUUGAUAGUCUUUUACAGUACAUCAAUCAAAGGAAGAAAUUCAGGAGACGCUGGGUGGGAGCACUUGCUUCUGUGACCAUCCCCAUUCAUUUUAUCUACGGGCCAUUGGAUCCUAUAAACCCCUAUCCAGAGUUUCUGGAGCUGUACAGGAGCUGGAAGUCAUGACUUUUUGAGGACUGUUACCGAAGUGUUGUAUUUGCAAGAUGUUGUCUGUUGUGUUCUGAACAAUUGAACCAGUUUAAGUGGAACUGGCAAGUUUAUCUGGCUGAGGAAAACGCUGCCGCGGUCCACAGUGUCGAUUCUGGAUGACCACAUUAGCCACUACCCACAGCUAGAGGAUCCCAUGGGCUUCUUGAAUGCAUAUAUGGGCUUCAUCAACUCCUUCUGAGCUGGAAAGAGUAGCUUCCCUGUAUUAAUUACUCCCCAUUCUCGUAUCUGUGUGUAUUCCACUUAGAAAUGCCCAAAAGAGGUCCUGGCAAUCAAAUACUAUUCUUUCAUAAAGUCCAUUUUAUUCACA